AACGCUGGCGGCAUGCCUUACACAUGCAAGUCGAACGGUAACAGGUCUUCGGAUGCUGACGAGUGGCGAACGGGUGAGUAAUACAUCGGAACGUGCCCGAGAGUGGGGGAUAACGAAGCGAAAGCUUUGCUAAUACCGCAUACGAUCUCAGGAUGAAAGCAGGGGACCGCAAGGCCUUGCGCUCACGGAGCGGCCGAUGGCAGAUUAGGUAGUUGGUGGGAUAAAAGCUUACCAAGCCGACGAUCUGUAGCUGGUCUGAGAGGACGACCAGCCACACUGGGACUGAGACACGGCCCAGACUCCUACGGGAGGCAGCAGUGGGGAAUUUUGGACAAUGGGCGCAAGCCUGAUCCAGCCAUGCCGCGUGCAGGAUGAAGGCCUUCGGGUUGUAAACUGCUUUUGUACGGAACGAAAAGACUCUGGUUAAUACCUGGGGUCCAUGACGGUACCGUAAGAAUAAGCACCGGCUAACUACGUGCCAGCAGCCGCGGUAAUACGUAGGGUGCGAGCGUUAAUCGGAAUUACUGGGCGUAAAGCGUGCGCAGGCGGUUAUGUAAGACAGAUGUGAAAUCCCCGGGCUCAACCUGGGAACUGCAUUUGUGACUGCAUAGCUAGAGUACGGCAGAGGGGGAUGAAAUUCCGCGUGUAGCAGUGAAAUGCGUAGAUAUGCGGAGGACACCGAUGGCGAAGGCAAUCCCCUGGGCCUGUACUGACGCUCAUGCACGAA
Molecule: ribosomal RNA, 727 nt
Filed under: uncultured beta proteobacterium
Lineage: Bacteria; Pseudomonadati; Pseudomonadota; Betaproteobacteria
Description: bacterial SSU rRNA
Rfam family: Bacterial small subunit ribosomal RNA
Source: RNAcentral